UUCACGGCCCCGGGGCCCCGACGUGUGGCGGCCCCUCUCUAUCCCAGCCCGCCGCGUUCGCCGAAUGCUCCUGAGCCUGUCUCUGGGCGGGUUCGCUGCCAAGCACGGACGCCCCCUCCUCCUGCACACAGGGUGCUGUGCACAGUAGGGCGGAGCGGGCAGCCUGGUCGCGGGAGGACGUGGCGCCUGUCAGAGGCGUGUGUCCACGCUUCUGGAGAUGGGGACGCAGGAAGGUGACAGUCUCCCAGUGUCACUCGACAGGGUGGUCUGCCACGGGGGAUUCCUGUUGUGCGCCAGGACGACCAGUGGUUGGGCACCGGCUGGGGCCCUCUCACUUCCUGGGGAGGCGGAGCCUCCCAGCUUCUGGGUGUUGCUGCACAGGCCUUCCCGCGGCGUGGGGCACGGACACCCACCCCGAAGACUGCUGGGCUCCACCACACUGCCCUGGUUGGUCUUCCUGCAGGUCCAGGGGCUGCCUGUAGUUUAGUCACCUAGCUGAGCACUGAGCGCUGAGCGAAACAGCAGUCUUGGAAGCCCACGGUCUCCAAUAGAGUCGCUUGCCCGGUGUGGAAGCCCUUUGCGUUUCCGUUCCUCUCCUCUGUCCCUAUUGCUACUUGGUCAUCUGCCUUUUUGCUUGUUGGUUGGCUCCAGGUCUCUACCUGGUAACACAGGAGCCCUCGAUCACAUCUUGAAGCUCGCUUUCGCCACUCUGUCAAGUCUUUCACACACUGGUUUGAGAAGUUGUUGGGGGUCAAGUAGAAAAUUUUAGUCUUCGUAUCAUUGCAAUUCCCAGGCUUUUCCUAAUGGUUUCUGGGGUUUCUUUGCCUUGGGCUAACUGGGCAAGCUCCCCCAGUUAAAACCCUGUGCAUCUGGCUUUUAUGUCCCAGGUCAGGGGGCCCCCUGGAGUUUGGCUCUGGCUCAGGUCUCUUGGGUGUGGGUCUUGGUGGUGGUGGUGGUGGUGGUGGCAUGGAGGUGCUGUCAGCUGGGGUUAGCAGGGGGCCUUUAAUGCCUCCCUGCAGGGCCUCUCCCUAGGGCUGCUCAGGCCAGAGCUUUCGCAGAGCCAGGGAUCAGAGAGAUGGGGAGGGAGAGGGCAGGAGGGAGCACCCCAAGGCCAAGCCACAGUCUUCUUAGGACCUCAUCCCCUGAUGCCCUUCACCCCUGCUGUCGUUUUUUAAUUGGUCUCAUAGGUCAAACCAGGAUCAGUGCAGGACAGGAGAAUGUAUGCAAGGAAAGAGGUUGUUCCCACCUGGCACUAUAAGGCACAAGGUGGCUGCUGGCGGGCACCUUGGCUCAGGGACUUGCAUGUGCCACUCCAGGUCCUAAGCAGGUCCAACUCUGGAAUGUGUCCCAGGUGUAAGCCCAGCCUCAGGACCCAGAUUGAGUGGCUUUCCCAUCUUUGAGUCAUCGCAAAUUAAAACACAGACAACCCCAACAAGGAAGGAGGAUGUGCCCUGGAGAGCCUGGUGUGUGUGACCCUCAGACCUUCUGUGUGUGCUCUCUGGCCCAUGCUCAUGGAGCUUGUGCCCGCCGAGCUGGGUAAAUCCUGUCCCUGCAGUUUGUCCUGAUGACAGGCUCAGGAGGUCCUUUCUUGUCACAGCAACUUGUUCAGCAUCCCAGGAAUCCCCUCCAAGCCUGGGGGGCUGGACACUCCCCGCCACCUGCAAUGUCCCACCCAGGGGCUGGCGAAGCUCUGCAUGAGGUAUGGGUGACUUUUCUGCAGCAGGCUGGGCCUCUCCUCUGCCUCCACCCCAGAAGGAACCAUGAAGGGCAGGUGCCCAGGAGUGGAGAGGUGUGUGCCUCGUCAUGGCGCAGGCACAAAAGUCCCUUUCCUAGGCGACUGCCUCACGUUGCCCAGGUCCUGGGCACUGGCAUCUCAGUUGGGGCAGUUGGCAGCCUGGGAGGUGGGGACGCUGAGGGAUGAGGUGAGACACAGGGAAGAAACUUCCCUCUGGCCUGAAGGAGGCCGUUGGUGCCUCAUCCUUCCUGGUCUGCACUCGGUGGAGACUUCUCCAUGGUGCUCCUGGUGGCUCUGAAUCUGUCAGUGAGCUUCCCUGGUGGUGAGUGCUUUUGCUGUGGGCUGUCACCGCUGGGCAGCACCCGGACCCUGGCAAACAGCUCCUGGCGCUUUCCCCAGCUGCCUUGCACAUCUGGACCUCAAGGUGGGCCCUUCUUGUGUGGAUGUGUUCUUUUUUUUUUUCUUUUCUUUUUAAUAAGUUUUUAAAUUUAUUUUUAUGUGGUGCUGAGGAUCAAACCCAGUGCCUCACAUGUGCUAGGCAGGCGCUCUACCACUAAGCUGUAACCCCAGCCUGCAGAUGUGUUCUUGGCAUAUGGGGACAGCCCCUCAGCCAAGAUGUCGGGCUAAGGGUCCUGGGGCUCCUCAGGAGGACACGCUCGGCUCUGUGCACACGCACACUCUGGGGUCGGCUCUGCACACGCACACUCUGGAGUCAACUCUGUGCACACCCACACUCUGGAGUCAUCUGUGUACUUGCUGUCCUGUCCAUCCCUCUAGCCUCUGAGAGAAUGGAGCCAGCUUUCCCAUCCUUUGCGGCUCUGCAGGGAGAAACGGGGAGAAGCUUUGAUUCCUCUGCCUGGGAUGAUCUCAGGGAGCCUGGUUGGAGCCACAUCUUCCCAACCCCAGCUGCCCUACACCCUUGCAGGGGGUGGGGGACGGGCUCUUAGCAGCCCGCUGUGCAGAGGGGAGAGCCAGACCCCGUCCUGAUGCGCACAGCUCACCCUGACUUAGCCUAAAGCUGCCGCCUCCUCACCCUACUGCCCUGCCCCCCUUAAGGAUCCUGGAGGAGCUUCCCUAGAGUAUCAUAGCCUGUGCUCCAGACCUGUGGGGUCACCAGCAGCUGUCCCCAUGGGCCCCCAACUCUAGAUUGAACCCAGGGACCUCUUGGGAGCAGCAUGCCUGCCCCCUUGGCACCUGUAUCCAGGGCCUCUGGAGCCAUCUUUAGUCAGGGGCCUCCACUCCUGUCCCUAGGGAGACCUAGUGCCCUGGUCACAGCUGGAGAAUGGGCCCUGGGACUCUCUCUUCUGGGCUGGCUCCCUUCUGCUCCUGGCAUCUGUUUGCCAGCAGGCCCAGACAAGGGGUGUGCUGGGGCUGGGCCACCACCUCUUGGGCUCUGUGCCCAAGGUGGCUGGGCCUUUGAGCCCUGCCUGCCUCCUCCUAGCAUGCCCAGUGGGUCCUCCUGGAUUUCCUCGGUGUGGCUGGCUCACAAUCAGGAUGGGGCCUGCACACGGGGGUUCCCAUCUACCUGCCCUCCCCUGGGAGGCCCCUGGCCAGGACGGGUCUCCAGUCUGUGUCCCUCCUGCCUCCUUGCCCUGGUGGCCUCUUCUAGCUCACUGCCUGGACUGGCCUGUCUCCUGUCACCAGGGGCAUAUUCCACCCCCUUGGCCCCUGCCACCUAGUUUGGCAUUUUCUUCUUUUCCCCUGUGUCUUUUAGCCCUGUGUCUUUACCCUCCAGAAGUGAUGUGGAGGGGAGAUUGGGGAGUUCUGGUUUAGCCCUGCUCAGCUUGGCAUGUUCCUUGGCUCAGGCCCUGAGAGGAUGCAAAGCAGGGUUGUCUCCUUGAGGUGGGGUCAGUGCCGGUGCUGGGAGGAGGUAAUAGGUUUGGUGUGGCUCCAUGGUGUAGUGUCCUGGGGACACCAGGGCUGGAGGGGGAAGGACAUUCCUGAGGAGGACCUCUCAUCCCCUAGGUGGCAAUGGAUCUCUCUGUACGUGGUUCUGCUGGUCCCUGGCCUCUCCGUUUGGGCAGCUUCUAGAGGCUUCUGGAGUGUGGGAUACCUUCCCUACCCCACCCCUGCCAUUGAUCACAGUAGGAGUAGUAGCAGGGCUGGGCUGAGGUUCUGGUUUUAUCCAAUAGUUUCCUGCCAGCCUCUAGGGUGGUAUCUUCUUGGGACUGGUGAACUGGAGCCUAGUGAGCAGUCCCACCCCAGGUGGAAAUGAAUAAAAGAAUGAAGUGCUGUUGUCUUCCCUUUGUUCCCUUGGCACUGGGGAGUGUCUCAUUUUAUUGAGAGCCACAGGCUCUGACCCCUGGUACUCUCCUCAUGCAGGGGACACUGGUGUCAGCCUCGCCCAGCAAGCGUCUUCCUUGCUUGUUUCUGGCUCUGUUGUUUCUUGUAGUUAGGCAAACCUUGGACAUCUUUGCCUUUCCUGUUGCAUCCCCUGUUCUUGUCCAUGUGUCUGGGGUAGAGGUUCCUCCUUAGGAGUACAAUUUUGGUCUUGUCCUGCUUCGGUGCUCCCCCAGGUAUCCUUCCCCAUCCUCCUGUUCCAGUCACCGUCUCCCCCAUCAACUAUUAAGACUCUUUCCUGGCCCAGCAGGUGCUAGCAUGAAGGUAAGAUAUCUCUCUGGGCAAGCAGCACUGCCAUAGGUUGCACCCACAUGCUAGCAAAUGGUAAGAGUUUAGACUGGACAGCAGCUAGCACAGCCUCUCACUGAGGCCAUGGAUAGGUGCUGUCCCCUUCUGUGUCCCAACAUCUGCUGGAUCCCUAUGGAAGUGGAGAGCAGUGGAAUGAGUGAAGACACUGAAAUUUUCAGGAGCCCUGCAGGGAAAUUGCAAGAUCUUUGGGAACUUUUGGGAUGUGCCUGGAGUAGCCCCUCAGAGAUCUUAGGGGAGGUGCCCCAGAACUAUCCAGAGUUUUAGGUGGAGUCCCCUAGUUCCCUCAGCUCACAGAGCCUUCAUAAGCAUUGGGGUUGAGGUCCCCAGAGCACUUGGAUGAUGUCUGGAGCACUCAGGUAACCCUUUGGGGGUUCCACCCUUUUGCCGAGGAUUGGGUGCAAUUACAGAGUUUGGGACCCCAGAGCCCUGAAGAGCCCUGGGCAAUGGAAGCCAAGCCCAAAUGGGAGACCUCAGAAGUCCAAUGAAGCUCAGGAACUCAAUGACUGGCAUUGAGUCCUGGGGAAGGCCCAGAGCCCUAGGGAGCCCUCUAGUUUCUCAGGUCCUUGGCACUACACGGAUGGAACUGGCAGCCCUUGUAGAAUGAAUGAAUGAAGUGGGGGAGAUAACACAUGAGUGGUCACCGUUUACUUUCUUCCCUCUCUUCUGACAUGCCAGACACCAUAGUGAUCAAUUAUACCCAGCCUCCUACUCUGUCCUCCUCACCUGCAACAGAUUCAGUACUCAAGACCUAGUGGGCCAUUUUGUCCCCAAAGUCUCCAUAUCUCUUCCCCUAUUCUUGGGAUUUUCCAGGCCCAGCUCCUGUUACUCUUGUGCUGUUCCUUCUCUCCACAACAGCUAACUCUUCAAAGGUUUGGGGAUGUCAACCUUGCCACUACCCCAGGUUCCACAUAGGUUCCCAUUGGUCUCACCUGCUUCUACCCAAUCCCCAGCAGGGCUCCAGUCCAACACAACAAUCCUGAGCAGUGAGUCACUUCUUCCUCUCAAUGUGCUUGAAUAUGUGUGUGUGUGUGUGUGUGUAUUUAUUUAUUUAUUUUAGUACCAGGGAUUGAACUUGGGAGUACUCAACCACUGAGCCACAUUCCUAGCCCUAUUUUGUAUUUUAGAGACAGGGUCUCACUUGAGUUGCUUAGUGCUUCACUGUUGCUGGCUUUGAACUUGUGAUUCUCCUGUGUUGGCCUCCCAAGCCACUCGGAUUAUAGGUGUGUGCCACUAUGCCUGGCUCCUUUACAUUUUAAAUGUACAAGAACCAUGUAUUACUUUUGGGAUCACAACAUUGUGGGAGUCUAUGAUGCAGCAAUGAGAAAUGGUCAGGAACCACUGUGAGGGUUAUUUGCUCUGCUAAACUCAUCAUGUGGCCAUAGCCAUGAGCCCUUGCAUGUGCAGGCUCUGCAUGGUUACUAUGCCCGGUUGAGUCCCACCACUUGCAGCAAAGGAGCAGAUCACUGAAGCAUGGGCCCCAUCCCUGGCUGGGCCUCUUCUUUCCUGCCCUCUGCUAGCAGUGUGAAGCCAGACAUGCAAGGCAUAACAUGGAUAUUGCAUUCUAUCCUGAGUUUUUAACAACUUUUUUUUUUUUUUGGUACCAGGGAUUGAACCUGGGGGCAUUUAGCCACUGAGCCACAUCCCCAGCCCUUUUUUAUAAUUUAUUUAGAGAUGGUCUCACUGAAUUGCUGAGGCUGGCUUUGAACUCAUGAUCCUUCUACCUCAGCCUCUGGAGCCACUAGGAUUACAGACGUGUGCCACCACCCCUGGUUUAUCACCUUUCAAAAAUACAUGUAAGCUGGACAUGGUUGCACAUGCCUGUAAUACCAGCAGUUCAGGAGGCUGAGGCAGGAGGAUCACAAGUUCAAAGCCAGCCUCAGUAACUUAGUGAGACCUUGAAUCAAAAAAUAAAGAGCUGGGGAUGUGGCUCAGUGCUUAAGUGCUCCUGAGUUCAAUCCCUGGUACCAAAGUAAAUAAAAAUACAAGUAAAUGUUGAUAUUAUAAAAUAUACAGUAAGGACAAAAAACCUGGGAACUAAGUAGGAAUACAGACAGGUGAAGAAUUUGAUUAUCCACAGAUGACGGAACACUGCAGUCUUUGGAGCUUCCCCACCUUGUCAUUAAAGCAGCAACAAUCUCAGAAGCUGAGGAAUGACCCACAACCGACCUUUCCAUCCCUGGGCCCUCAGAUGCUGAGGUUGUCUGGUGUCAGCUUUUCCUGUUGAAAACACCUGUGGACAAUGUUAUACAUGCAGUUUUACCCACAUUUCAAGUGGGUUCUCAUGUAGUUCGUUGGAUGAUUGUCACUUUUAUAGGUAGUUACAAGUGAUUUGGGUAAUGAGGGAAUAAAACCCACAAAACACAAACGUACAUAUCUAUGGGUAGCAUUUGAUCACUUCCCCAAAACAAAAAUGCAGAACCAAACAGGCAAAGCCAGAUAGUAAUCCUUCAAACCCAAGUUCUAGAGCCCUUAUGUCAUGGGAGCCCAACUUCUCCCUCAGUAGGAAAAACCAACAAGUUAAAAAUAAACAAGUCUUUUUAUUAUGUAUCCACUGAAAACAAAGUCAGGGAAGCCUUUGGAUAAUCUCCCCGACAAGGUGACAAUGAACAGGAGGCAUGCAUGACAACAAUUUUAUUCUCCUCUGGAGGAAUGAGCUCUUGCUCUCCUGGGCCCUAAGGAUUAGAGGCAAGCAGGGCCAGAAGGCUCCAGAGGAAGGCACACCCAGGCCUAAUCAGCUGUGGAGGGCCCAAGUCUGCUGCCUCCCUGGCAGGAUGAGGCAGGGGGUGGGGUGGGGGGAAACACUGCCCUGGGCUAGGCCCAACACCCCCAAGCUAGAACACACAGAAAAGCCCCACCCCCACCCCCAGCAAACACUGCUAA
This is a long non-coding RNA of Marmota monax (woodchuck), 7264 nucleotides long. RefSeq lists it as uncharacterized. The record is from RefSeq and is a predicted model, not a curated record. Lineage: Eukaryota; Metazoa; Chordata; Mammalia; Rodentia; Sciuridae. The transcript has 2 exons.